GAUACGUCAGGUGCCCUUCGGGGAAAGUCGAGACAGGUGGUGCAUGGUUGUCGUCAGCUCGUGUCGUGAGAUGUUGGGUUAAGUCCUGCAACGAGCGCAACCCCUGCCAUUAGUUGCUACGCAAGAGCACUCUAAUGGGACCGCUACCGACAAGGUGGAGGAAGGUGGGGACGACGUCAAAUCAUCAUGCCGUCGACGCGGCCAGUCGUGGGAG
Molecule: ribosomal RNA, 214 nt
Filed under: uncultured bacterium
Lineage: Bacteria
Description: partial 16S ribosomal RNA
Rfam family: Bacterial small subunit ribosomal RNA
Source: RNAcentral